UUCAAUACUUAGAGCCCCUCCUCUACCUGAUUGCUAACACCUGGGAAGCAAGUGAAGGUGACAUUGGGUUGUCUACAAUGUCUACAUUGGCGAGGCCAAAGUCCACCAUACCGAAUUCUCUGUUUGUUCCACCACCUCCUGUUCAGGUGAAGUAAGUGCAUUCCCUUGCGAGGGCAACGCUCCCUUGAGUCCCACCUCCUCUGUAGAUUCACGAUCAUCAGUUUGUCUUGAAGGUGGGUGUUCUUUUUUUGGCAGCAAGGAGUUCCAGCUGACAGAGACAAGCAAUUGAAAAGGAGCUCGGGGUGGAGAGGAGGGACACACCUUCAUGUACACCCUUUUCUUCUCUGUUUGAGUCACCUUAUUCCACCCACGGCUGCCCCGUCUCCAGGUUUUGAGCUGAGGGAGCAGUAACAGUAGGCCAGGCUCUUCUUCAGAUGAAAGGCCAGAUAGAAGGUACCUAUUACAUGCCCGUGAGCGCAGAAACAAAGGCCUGGCCGCUGACACUCUCCCCUCCCACUAACUUGAGUCUUAAUGCAUCAGCUCCACCCUGUGUUGAUCUCGUGGAGGAUGUCUGCAUCAGAAUGAGGAAUCUUGUACAACUCUGAGGACUUCCAUCACCAUGGAAGAGUGCUGUAGUCCUCUUGCUUUCUACUCCGCUGCCUUAGAGGCAGCUGACUCAGUUCUUGGCCCAGCAAAACAAGAGAACCUUACAUAACCACGGAGCUGAGCUCUUGGAAGGAGAGGCCUUGCCAUGUGAAGAAUGAGAGGCCAGCUCUCGACAGAGGAGGGACAUGGUUCCCAGGCUGGAUUGGAGGGAGUGUCACCUGAACUUGAGGCUCCCAGCUGCCAUCACAGUGCAGUGUUUACUUUUGACUCAUCCAGAGCUUAUCCAGUAUACACGUGACUGGCAACCCCGUGUCCUAAAAGUUCAUCCCCAGGCAAGGUUUUCUGUUGUCUCUUGGGCUUGCAUGAAGAUCCAGUUUGGGUGUUUUAAAGGAUUCACUGAGUGAAUAAAAAAUGAAGUAGGAGGAGGAGGAGGCCGUGACUGCUCCUAAAGUAUGGAGAAGAGUUUGAUUGUAGAUGGAAGGGGAGAGCAGGCAGAGGGAAGAGUCCAGGCUGAACAUGGCAGGCAGACUAAACCGGACCAUGAGAGGAGAGAGGAGGAGGGAGAGCAAGAGAGGAGCCGCUGACCAAGAAGGGCAGUCUGUGCCAAGAGACCGGAGUAGCCAAAAUGGCUGAGUUAUAUGGGGAUCUGAAGCUGGGGGAAGGAGACAGAAGCCCAGCUCCUGGGGGGAAGAGGUUCCAGGUGGGAAGCUGGGGGAUGAGCACAGGGAGGAGUGAAACUUGUUCUGGGUUUGAGACCCAACAUGGAUAAUGUCUUCUUAGAAUCUGUUUGUAGAUUGCACAUCUUUAAUCCCAGUUCUCUGAAGGCAGAGGCAGCCGGAUCUCUGUGAGUUCGAGGCCAGCCUGGAAUACAGAGUGAGUUCCAGGACAGGCUCCAAAGCUACACAGAGAAACCCUGUCUGGAAAAAAAUCUGUUUGUAGCUUGCCUGCCUCCCUCCUUCCUUCCUUUUCCCCAUCCUCCCUCCUUCCCUCUGCCUCUCCUUCCCUCCCUCUCUCCCUCCCUCGUCCUGCCCUCCACUUCUGUGAUGCUUGCUGUCUCCAUGCCUAGUCAACUGUACAUUAGAGCCUCAGUUCUUCACAUACUGCUUGGCUCUCAACUUCCAUUGACUUCAUCUGCCUUAUAAAGAGGACAAACUUGACCUUGCACUGCUUUCCUGCUUGGGAGCUGGUGUGUGUGUGUGUGUGUGUGUGUGUGUGUGUGUGUGUGUGUGUGUGUGUGCUUGCUACAGGUACGGAUCCACAGUUGUCCCAGUGGAAAGUACUUGAGUACUUAAAAUAAGUGUGUUGAAAUGUUGUGUGAGAUUUUCAGAGGAGAUGUGAGUAAACACUUACACUUCAUACAGGACACUAACGACAGACCGCAGGAAUGAUGCCACCACAUCAGGAGCAAGGCUGACUACAGGCAGCGGCGUUACUGAAAAGCCCUGGGCAGAAUGGGGGAAGGCUCACAAAAGCUGCAUUCCUGGAGUGGAGCUGUCUGUCUAACUUGCCUGCAAGUCCUCUGAAAAGUCCCUUGCCCCAUCAAGGACUUAGUGCUUCAUAACCUUGAGAGACGGCCGUGUGACCCUGAGUCUUGUGCGACUCCCCCUUCCCUCCAUAAAGGAAUGUCUCAGUUUAGAGGAAUUAGCUGCCUAACGUGAGAGAUGGAGAACGCACAGGUUCAGAGACACGACUUGUAAACAAUGUCCUGUUAGACGUCAUAGCCGCAUCGGCAUUGAACAAACUGGAAGCUCAGUACAAUUAAGUUUUCUUUGCUUUUGUGGUUUCUAGGCUUGGGUUAACUUUGCCUAAUAAUAAUAUGAGAAUGACAGAAGUUCAUGGAAGGCACCGGUAAGAGAUUUCCCUCCAUGAUUACACUCCUUCCUCACAUAGGUUCAGCAUAGUCACUUGGACAAAAGCAACUUCAGGAAGUAAGACUUUAUUCGGCUUACUUCUCCAGAGGAGACACAACAUACAGUCCAUUGUGGUGGGGAAGCAUGGUGGGAGGAGCUUGAGGAAGCAGAGUGAGAACAGGAGGAAAUGGAGCUAUAUGCUACCAAACCUCAAAGCCCACUCCUUGGGAUGCACUUCCUAUAGCAAGACUCCAUCCUCUGAAGGUUUCACAAUAGCGCCACCAGCUGGAGACCAAGGGUUCAAACACAUGAGCCCAUGGGGAGCAUUUCACAGUCAAAUCACGGCCGUGGCUGGUUUGAAUCUGAAAUUCAAAUCCACGUCCUUCUGACUCCAGAUAGUAUUCCUAGCCGGUUCACAAGCUGAGCUGUGUCAACAUCAUGCUGGUGACCUCAUCGAAUCCUGUCUCUGUAUGGUUGGGUGGGUCUCAAGUAUACAUUAUUCUGAUCUAGACUGUUGGCUAUCUACUUGGAUUGCCCCCUUCCUCCAGCAAUUAGAGCUGUUCCUGGCCACUCUGUUCCUUCUUAAGCAUGCUUCUCUGUCACAUUCCCUUACUCAGGCUAAAGUGUGGGAGUGACCCUUGACCUUUCUUUCUUUUUUUUCCACAGCCAACAUGCCAAUUAUCAACAGGAUUCCUAUAAUCCAGAAAUUCAACCACCUCUUGCCCUCCUCACAGCUGUCAAGGAUUGCUGCUGGUGGACCUAAGAAACAAAAUCUGAUGCUGAAUCUGUGGCAUGUCCUCCUUACCUUGGUUUUCCUUCUGAUGCUGUCUUUUGAAAUGAUGAUAUGGAGACUGCUCUGGGCACCAGAUAGAACCCCAAACGGCUCUUUGCUCCUAUGAGUUUAUUUCACAAGGGAAAAAAAAAUUUGAGAGUGUGGGUUGUUGGUCUUUUUGGUUUUUUGCUUCGCAGAGACUAUGUGCUCCGUAGCCCUGGCUGAUCAGGUAUUCACAAUAUAAACCAGGCUGUCUCAGCCUCCAGACUAGUAGAAUUAGGUUGUUGGCUUCUUGUCGUUAUUUCCAUGGAGGCUGUGUCUUGAAAGGUGUGUGGUACAGACUUGGACACCUCAUUUCUAACAUGAAGCCUAGCCCUCUAAUCCAGGAGAGCAAGAGGCAAGAGAAGAAUUUAUCAGCAGCAAGCACUGGACACCUAACCUCACAAGACUGAGGUUGAACCAGCCCCAAAUCCAACUCACUGCAGGCUAUUCCCUGCCCUGUUGCGUUGUGGGGGAGCUCCCUGGCUUACCGUGGCAGCUGCUGGGUUCUCACUGCUGUGAUUCACCUGUUCUUUCAUGUUUGCCUUGGAGUUCAGCCACUUAGGUUUCAGAAGGUGCUGAGCUGGCCAACGUUCUUGGCUAGAGAACACAGGUGUGACCGGUGCCGUGUUAAGUGCUAGCGGCGGUUCUAAGUGCUGAUUGGAAAGGAAGCUGGACAUACUAGCUUUCAUCGGGGCUGCUUUGCUUGGCCACCUGCGACUUUGCACUUAGCAAAGUGAGAGCUGAAUAAGGAUCCAGACAGCCUAUUUCAAGGUACUGUUUCGGCUCUUAAACAACAAACCGAAACAACCCGGUGAAGCUGGGUGCGGUCCGCACUGUCUUCCAACUUGGUGACCCAGGAAAGGAGAUUCUCAAGUACACAAAACCUGUUCCUCCAAAGAUUUGGACUUGGCUUUUUCUUUUUGUUUUUGCAACUCUGAUCAUUGUUUGCUGUGCCACAUUUGAAGCCCAAAUCCUGAAUUAUAUUAACUUAUUUUUUUUAGGAUUUAUUAUUAUUAUU
Peromyscus californicus insignis is the source of this 4288-nucleotide long non-coding RNA. RefSeq lists it as uncharacterized. The transcript has 4 exons. The record is from RefSeq and is a predicted model, not a curated record. NCBI's taxonomy places the organism in Eukaryota, Metazoa, Chordata, Mammalia, Rodentia, Cricetidae.